This 457-nucleotide ribosomal RNA is filed under the name uncultured Rhodoferax sp. RNAcentral describes it as "bacterial SSU rRNA". It matches the Rfam family "Bacterial small subunit ribosomal RNA", at positions 342 to 791 of the family's 1533-position model. Lineage: Bacteria; Pseudomonadati; Pseudomonadota; Betaproteobacteria; Burkholderiales; Comamonadaceae. The record is from RNAcentral.
CGGGGGGCAGCAGUGGGGAAUUUUGGACAAUGGGCGCAAGCCUGAUCCAGCAAUGCCGCGUGCAGGAUGAAGGCCUUCGGGUUGUAAACUGCUUUUGUACGGAGCGAAACGGUCUAUUUUAAUACAGUGGACUAAUGACGGUACCGUAAGAAUAAGCACCGGCUAACUACGUGCCAGCAGCCGCGGUAAUACGUAGGGUGCGAGCGUUAAUCGGAAUUACUGGGCGUAAAGCGUGCGCAGGCGGUUAUAUAAGACAGAUGUGAAAUCCCCGGGCUCAACCUGGGACCUGCAUUUGUGACUGUAUAGCUAGAGUACGGUAGAGGGGGAUGGAAUUCCGCGUGUAGCAGUGAAAUGCGUAGAUAUGCGGAGGAACACCGAUGGCGAAGGCAAUCCCCUGGACCUGUACUGACGCUCAUGCACGAAAGCGUGGGGAGCAAACAGGAUUAGAUACCCCCGU